RNAcentral lists this unclassified non-coding RNA (412 nucleotides) under soil metagenome. RNAcentral's name for it is "partial contains 5.8S ribosomal RNA, internal transcribed spacer 2, and large subunit ribosomal RNA". The stretch from base 2 to 119 matches the Rfam family "5.8S ribosomal RNA", at positions 37 to 154 of the family's 154-position model. The record is from RNAcentral.
GUGAAGAACGUAGCGAAAUGCGAUAAGUAAUGUGAAUUGCAGAAUUCAGUGAAUCAUCGAAUCUUUGAACGCACCUUGCGCUCUUUGGUAUUCCGAAGAGCAUGCCUGUUUGAGUGUCAUGAAAAUAUCAACCUUGACUUGGGUUUUGUGCUCUAGUCUCGGCUUGGAAUUGGGUGCUUGCCGCUUUUACGAGCGGCUCACCUUAAAUGUAUUAGCUGGAUCUGUCUUUGAGACUUGGUUUGACUUGGCGUAAUAAGUAUUUCGCUAAGGACAUUCUUCGGAGUGGCCUCGUUUCUAGGACGCUUGUCCGCUUUCCAAUACAAGUUCCACCUCGUGGACAUGACUUUUUAUUAUCUGGCCUCAAAUCAGGUAGGACUACCCGCUGAACUUAAGCAUAUCAAUAAGCGGAGGA